UGCAGAUAACAAUGUGUGUUGUUAAGCUGAUGUGGGGAACAGCGGUCGUGGUGGGCCGAGCAAUGCGUCCGAUGUGUUCAUUUAUGAGACGCGUAUGCAAUCUCUGCUGCAGCUGGUACGACGAGGGCGACGAUGGCAGGAAUCAGGC
Long non-coding RNA from Amyelois transitella, 148 nucleotides. RefSeq lists it as uncharacterized. The transcript has 3 exons. NCBI's taxonomy places the organism in Eukaryota, Metazoa, Arthropoda, Insecta, Lepidoptera, Pyralidae. The record is from RefSeq and is a predicted model, not a curated record.